AAAUGGCUCAUGAAUGACGGUCUAAAAUGACGUGCGACAAUGAAUCAGAUCAUGUAAGAGAUGAAGUUGGCGUUGGCCAAUAGACAAACCCAAUAUUCCUCAACCUCCUCAUGGCUGGCGACAAGAGCUGAAGGAGGCUGAAGAUUUUCCAAUGCAUACAUUUGCAAUUCAGUUAGAAUUACUUUUAAGGCAUUUAAGCAAUGAAAAUGUCAUUGUAACUUUAAUUGAGCAGACACAUUUUUCUUGAUAAGUAUUACAUUGCUCCAUUGGGUGAGAGAUUUCGAUCAAUGGUGAAAGUUAAAAGCUAAAAUUCAUAGCUUGAUGGUCAUAAACAGUUGCAUAUAUUCUCAUAACUUGUUGUAAGACAAAUGAAUAAUUUC
Molecule: long non-coding RNA, 380 nt
Filed under: Olea europaea subsp. europaea
Lineage: Eukaryota; Viridiplantae; Streptophyta; Magnoliopsida; Lamiales; Oleaceae
Source: RNAcentral